Molecule: ribosomal RNA, 434 nt
Filed under: uncultured bacterium
Lineage: Bacteria
Description: bacterial SSU rRNA
Rfam family: Bacterial small subunit ribosomal RNA
Source: RNAcentral
AACGCGAAGAACCUUACCUGGUCUUGACAUCCCAAUGACCGAACCUUAACCGGUUUUUUCUUUCGAGACAUUGGAGACAGGUGGUGCAUGGUUGUCGUCAGCUCGUGUCGUGAGAUGUUGGGUUAAGUCCCGCAACGAGCGCAACCCCUAUCUUUAGUAGCCAGCAUUUAAGGUGGGCACUCUAGAGAGACUGCCAGGGAUAACCUGGAGGAAGGUGGGGACGACGUCAAAUCAUCAUGCCCCUUAUGGCCAGGGCUACACACGUGCUACAAUGGCGUAAACAAAGGGAAGCGAAGUCGUGAGGCGAAGCAAAUCCCAGAAAUAACGUCUCAGUUCGGAUUGUAGUCUGCAACUCGACUACAUGAAGCUGGAAUCGCUAGUAAUCGUGAAUCAGAAUGUCACGGUGAAUACGUUCCCGGGUCUUGUACACACCG